AAAAAGCUCGUAGUCGAAAUUGUGUCCUCGGCCGCCGGUUCGUCGCUCGCGACGCCAACUGGCGCGCACGUUGGACGUCCAGCCGGUACAACGAACUCGCCUACGGGGUGCUCUUAACCGAGUGUCUAGGCGGGGGCCGGCAACGUUACUUUGAACAAAUUAAAGUGCUUAAAGCAGGCUAAAUUGCGCUCGCAUACACGCGCAUGGAAUAAUCGAAUAGGACCUCCGUUCUAUUUUGUUGGGUUUUUGUGGAACGACAGACGGAGGUAAUGAUCAAUGGGUGCGGAUGGGGGCAUUCGUAUUGCGACGUUAGAGGUGAAAUUCUUGGAUCGUCGCAAGACGGACUUGAGCGAAAGCAUUUGCCAAAAACGCUUUCAUCGAUCAAGAACGAAAGUUAGAGGUUCGAAGGCGAUCAGAUACCGCCCUAGUUCUAACCAUAAACUAUGCCAGCUAGCGAUCCGCCGAAGUUACUUCUAUGACUCGGCGGGCAGCUUCCGGGAAACCAAAGCUUUCGGGUUCCGGGGGAAGUAUGGUUGCAAAGCUGAAACUUAAAGGAAUUGACGGAAGGGCACCACCAGGAGUGGAGCCUGCGGCUUAAUUUGACUCAACACGGGAAACCUCACCAGGCCCGGACACCGGAAGGAUUGACAGAUUGAGAGCUCUUUCUUGAUUCGGUGGGUGGUGGUGCAUGGCCGUUCUUAGUUGGUGGAGCGAUUUGUCUGGUUAAU
This 728-nucleotide ribosomal RNA is filed under the name Pyropyga nigricans. RNAcentral describes it as "SSU rRNA". It matches the Rfam family "Eukaryotic small subunit ribosomal RNA", at positions 621 to 1323 of the family's 1831-position model. Lineage: Eukaryota; Metazoa; Arthropoda; Insecta; Coleoptera; Lampyridae. The record is from RNAcentral.